Molecule: non-coding RNA, 4665 nt
Organism: Coturnix japonica (Japanese quail)
Lineage: Eukaryota; Metazoa; Chordata; Aves; Galliformes; Phasianidae
Source: RefSeq, a predicted model, not a curated record
GCAUCUAAAAUACACAGAAAGGAAAAGUGAAAGGCAUUAAUUCAUUAAACAACCAGAGCAAUCAGCAGAAGCUGAGCAGCACUUCUCCAGCUGGCAGCAGGGCAAUAGCGACGCACCACGAUCCUGGGACACACUUCAGCCCACACAGCUGAACUAGAGCACGGCUGACACUGACCAUUCCCCUGCUGACAGAACCCUGACCCUUCAACCCAUAACUGCUCCACUGACGCUGCCUACUGAGCAGUGACAUCGGUUCCUUUAGCACAGCCUUGCUGCCUGCAGGCUGUUAAACCAAACCGGGCUCCCUGAGCGCACAUUAGAGAACCACAACUGUUGCACUGCACUAGUUGCAUCCCGCUAUGUAACUACAAGGAACUGCAUGGACUUUAUCUCUGAAAUGACUCUAUUGCUACAGUUAAGUGAUGAAAGCACCGCCGGGACACCCAGAGGAUACAGAUGAAGCAGGUGCCUCGAGCUGCAGAACUGAGCACAAGGCUGCGUUUCAGGUGACUUGGGCCGGGGGCUGUGCUAGCCAAAGGGCCAUGACAAACGUAAAAGGGAAAGCUUCCAAUGCUGGUCCUCCUUGAAGCGAGUGAAAAGAUUCCCAUCAAAAUACACCGAACAUGGACCAGGCUCUUCAAAGGCAAGAAGCACAGUUUUGACAUUGUUUAGAGUACACCGAGAGCCCAGCAAGGUCACCCUUCCUAUUUCAAGGCGAGGUGUUUGAUAGGAGAGGUUUCCUGCAGUGCACGUGUCCACAGAGACUCAAUAUGUCCAUGCCACCCACACUGGCUAGCGUAGGCUUAUUCUUCUCCUCCUACAUUUCCAGAUGGGGCUUCUUGGAAGCCCUGCUGGGCACUGGUGCCACAACUACUAGCAGAGCAUGGAAGGGAGAGAGCUGUGGAGAGGCUGCCAGGAGCUUCCCAACCCAUGGGAAAGUUGCUGCUUCCUUCUGCCCAGUGUACACUGCCAAGCAGGCUGCUUGGUAUCUGCAGCUUGUCCUUGCUGGGAUGUCAAUUAGGACUGGAUCUUGCUGAGCAAUGUGUGACCUGGCUUGGGAUUAGCUAUAAGCACUCCCAUGGGGAAGGGGCAGCCAGAAUAUAAGAACUAGAAAAGCCUAGUUUUGUUGUGUCCCAGUGGGUCAGCGUGGUGACAGCUGGUACUGUUUGAGAUCAAGGAUCGUGCCUAAUGUCAUGACUGCACAUGGUCCCAGCUGACGUGCAGAGCUGAGCAUUGCUGGGACCGUAUCCAGUGUACAGAGACAGAGUUAGUCAGGCUGGAGACCUAGGAGAAGAGGAAACAGAAUAAUUGCUGGAUGAGGAGGAGAUAUAUUCAGCUCCUUUAUUUAAGCUUGUCUUCCUGCAGGAGUGCCAGGCUGUGAUUGCUGAAUGUGAAUUCUGGCCACCAGGGACAACGAAGUGGGAGCUUUUCUAGCAGUUGAUGGAAACUCGAGGAGAAGGUUUAGAGUCAGUGAGUGCUCAUGGAAGGGACUCACAGAGAUGACUGCCAGGCUGGGAGAGUGUCAGUGUGUGUGCUGAGGCGUACCCUGCACUGGGGCAGGUGACAUAGUGUACCUGAGGUCAUUCAAGGGUGAGUUAUCUGGAUUCCCUCAUCAGAAAUGAAAUUCUUGCUGUUGGUCAUUCAUCCCACUCCCACUGCAUAUUGUAGGCAUCUUGAUGAUACCAUGACACAGAAGGUGGUGCAAGGGUGGACGUGCCAAUGAAGGCCCAAGCCACUAUGCCUCACAUCAGAUGGCUCACAUCAUUUAAGUUCUCUACUGCAUAGGUGUCCGCAUCACUACAAUAACAAACCCUACAGGACCAUACAGAUUGGUUCUUCAGGACAUAGGCUGACUUACCAACUGGGUGAGGCAUAGCUCUCAGUUGAGGCAUUGCUCUCAAUGAGUUCUUCUCCUGGUCUGUACAUAUCCAGGGCUGCCCCAGCCCAAGUGUAGCACCUUGCACUUGGCCUUGUUGAACCUCAUUUAGUUCACAGGGGCUCACUUCUUAAGCUUGUCAAGGACCCUCUGGAUGACAUCCCUUCCUUCUGUUGCAUCAGCUGCACCAUACAACUUGGUGUUGUCCGCAAGCUUGAUGAGGGUACGCUUGAUCUGUGCCAUUUGUGAAGAUGCUGAAGAGCUCUGGUCCCAAGACUGACCCCUGGGGAACACCACUCAUCACCUGCUUCCACCUCAAAGGAGUCAUUGACCUCAGCCCUCUGGCUGAACUAUCUAACCAGUUCCAUAUCCACUAAUUCCACAGUUUCCUCUGCCUCACCCGUGGUCUGUUCAGCAGGCUGGUCGCUGACGUUUCCCCAGCUGGCAUGUCUCUGAGCUUAUCCAUUAGCACCAUACCAUCUUAGUAUGUGCAAGUUGGGCUGGAGAUUACUGAGGCUGGGGAUUACCAGAGCUGCUCUGAUGGAAUGCAGUGCAGGCGGUGAUGUCAGUGCUGGUCUCUCGCUGCAAGUGCUGGUCCUUCCCUGGGGAAAGUGGCUGCUGUCUCCACUGAGGCCUGUCACCUCCGGCCACUGCGGUGGGGAGGAGAGGCAGGGUGCAGCUGCAAGUUGGGCAAGAGAUGUUAAUGGAAAACAGAAACAAUUCAGUAUGGAGGUGGUGGGGGAAAUGCUAACAAUGUUACGAGCUGGGAGUUUGUAACAGUCUUGCUAGUGAAGUAACUGCCAGAGAAAUCACUUGGAGUUUUUUAGCCCCCCUCUUUUUUUUUCUUUCUUUGUUUUUCUUCUUUCUCCUGCCUGUCCUCCCCCAACCCUCACCCCUCUGCCUGUGGACACAGAAAUUCUCCAGCUUGUUAUGCUGAGGCCAACAAUAUUCUUCAGCAUUGACACUGUCUGGGGUGAAUCAGGUACACCAAGCAAGAAUCGCAGCCUGGAUUUCCUACAGACUAAGGGAAGGGAAGCUGCUCUGAGGGAGCACACCUUACAUUGCUGCUCGUCUUAUGCUGCCGUUUCAUUUAUAUUUCAGGGGCACUUCCUAACCUUUGCUGAGCAAGGCUUCAGUCUGUUACCCCCUUCCUGCCUAACCUUCCUGCAACGCAAAAAUAAACAAAGAGAAAAAGCUGUGCCAUAUCCCAUUAGCUGAGAUCAAAAUACAGUUCUCUUAUCCCAUCAGCUGCGCUGCCUUUCAGCUGGAUGUGCCAAAUCUAUGUGACUUGCUCACCCCAUCUAUUAUAUUAAUCUCCAGGUCCUAAAGUUAGAGGUGAAACCUGGGCUUCCUGGAUUUUGUCAUUCUCCUUUAACAGAAAGUUUGUAACUGAAUGGCAAACUGUGAGUUGAGGCUGUUUCUUCUCGCCAAACUCUAUAAAAGAUAAUUACUGCUGGAGUUCAAGUGGUGGCAUGUUUUGCAAGAGAUCUAGAAGCCUAGUAUGCAACCUUCCAGAUAGACACUGUAAUUGUGCCUAUGAUUACCCUUCUCCUUCAUUUUAUUUAUUUUAUUAUUUUCCCAGCAAUUUAUUACAUUCACACAUUGAAAACUUGUUGGAAAAUUAAAUAGUCGUUCAAAAAUCUGCUUGUUGUGGUGCACCAGAGAACACGAUUCCUGUAUUCUGAUUUGGAGUCAUUUGCAAAGCUUAUGCACUGGUGGACUCACAAGCUGAGAAGCCUGCUUAUGGCAAUUACGUGAUGGUAGCUUGAUGAAGGCAGAUCUGCAGGUUUCCGGAGGUGUGACUGUAUGUCUGUGCUGUGCAGAGGUCAGAACAAGGAACGCUUUUCAUUAUGGAUUAGAUUCCCUCUGAUGGAAGUCCAUAAGUUUCCUCUUAAAUAUUGACUUUUCAUUGUCUGUGGUGAUAUCUCCUGCAGAUGGGUGCCGGCCUCUUUGCCUGGCCUAAAUUCUAUUGUACUUACCUCAUUACUCUCCUAAUGAUGAUCUGACAAAUGCUUUUGCUUGAUUUACUGGUGAUGUUACAGGUGUUUGGAACACUUGUCGGUACCUUGCUACUACAUGUCCAACCUUUCAAAUGGUGAGGUGCGUUGGCUUCCUUUGCAAAACGUCCUUCUGCAUGUAACCACCGUGGGCUUUAUCACAUGCACCCCAAACUUCCAGAGCUUUGCCCUGAGAUGUCCCCUCCAGCAAAAAACAUCAGGAACUAUGUGCAGAUGUUGAUGUCACUGGAGAAGUCAGCAUCACAUCACAAGGAGAAAUGAGUGAAGAAAUGGCAAGAUGGAGCGGCCUUCCCACUGCUUGUGGAACAUGGAUGGUACAUCAUCAGUCCUGAGAUAGCAGAGCAGAGCCUUCAUCCCACCAAGUUCCUGAGUGCCACGGUCUGCAGCACAGGAAACACAUCAUUUGCAUCUGUCCUAGUAUCCAAACUGCAAAUUGGACCUGAUUAGAAUUCUUCACGGAGCAACACGGACUAAUACAGAACUUCUAUUAUUCUACGUUUCAAUACAACUUCAGGGGAGAUUGCGGGAGCUCUAGAUUGGGGAGGUGGCUUCUCUGUUGGGCUCCUGAGUUCAGAAAGGUGAGCUCUCCCUUCUGUUGCAGAACCUACAAGGUGACCUUAGUAGGUCACUUUGACUUUGUUUUACCCCUCGUUAAAUGUAGGUGAAAAAUACUUGCAAAGUGUCUUUGAGACCAGCUAUCCGAGUGGCCAUUAUUGUGAUCAUAAUAAUUAUUUUGAUUAAAUGAAACCAGCUGAUGCUUGUGCAACACUU